RNAcentral lists this ribosomal RNA (250 nucleotides) under uncultured Moraxella sp. RNAcentral's name for it is "partial 16S ribosomal RNA". It matches the Rfam family "Bacterial small subunit ribosomal RNA", at positions 524 to 773 of the family's 1533-position model. Lineage: Bacteria; Pseudomonadati; Pseudomonadota; Gammaproteobacteria; Moraxellales; Moraxellaceae. The record is from RNAcentral.
UACAGAGGGUGCAAGCGUUAAUCGGAAUUACUGGGCGUAAAGCGAGCGUAGGUGGUCAUUUAAGUCAGAUGUGAAAUCCCCGGGCUUAACCUGGGAACUGCAUCUGAUACUGGGUGACUAGAGUAGGUGAGAGGGAAGUAGAAUUCCAGGUGUAGCGGUGAAAUGCGUAGAGAUCUGGAGGAAUACCGAUGGCGAAGGCAGCUUCCUGGCAUCAUACUGACACUGAGGUUCGAAAGCGUGGGUAGCAAAC